GCAACGCUGUAGCAACGCCUUAGCAACGCUGUAGCAACGCCGUAGCAACUCGAGGCCCAGCGCUGCGGAGCCGCCGCGCCCGGGCGCCGGAGCUGAGCGCGCGCUGAAUCGCGUUGCGGGCGGCGGAACGCCGGGGUGCAGAAAGCGUUUCCACCGGGCUCUUGGGUGGAUGGUUUAACGCUGAGGUUGCUGGGCGCGGAGCCGGGCAUCGGACUCGAUGAUCUUCACAAGUCCCUUCCAAGUCAGGAGCACGAACGGUUCUAGGCUCCCCAGACCUCGCAGGAUGACGAAGAGCUCCUCAUCAGCCCCCUGGCAUCUCGGACCAGCUCCACCUCCGUGUCCUUGGGGGAGAACCCAUCACCAGGACGGACCCCGCGAGCGCUUCGCUGCCAGCCCCACCGUGCUAGGAAACGCUGGGCAGCUCAUCCCGCAGCGCUCCCUGCGCCCGCUGCCUUAGAAGCUCGCCGGGCUUUACCUUAAAGACAACUAUGACAGUUCACCUCUGCAGAAGUCUUUGCCGGAUGGCAGAGAGCAAAAGGGACGAGGCAGCCCUCGAACGAACCGGGAUUGCUGCCGCAGCCCUACGCUUCCCAGCAGCCCUCUGUCCGAGGACCAGCCGAUGUCCUGCCUCAUUCUAUAUGGGGUUGUUAGGCUGGGGCUCGAACCGGUGAUUGCGCACCUGGUGAGGGGUGUGGCCAGCCCUGCCGGCACAGCUGGAGCCGUUCAGCUGGGAUUGGAGGGGUGGAGCCCGGCUGCAUCCCUCCCUGGGCUCAUUUAAGGGCUGGCAGCCGCAGGGGCAGCAUCUGUACCUGGAGCCUGCUUCCUUUGGAGUGCGGGGUGAGUCCUGGUCCUUGGGAAGAGGUAAGUGAUUCUUUCUUUGUUAUGGGGCUGUGACCUCUGUCUUUCUUAGGGGGUCGGGGACUGGUUUAAAGCGGCUGUUCCUUCCAUUGCCUACCCUUACAAUGCCCUUCAAUCUUUUCCUGAGAGGUUAAUUGACUGUAUCCCUUUCUUUGAAAUGGUGUUGACAAUCCUUCUAUAAGCCCUUUUCUUCCACUACUGCUUGAUUUCUGGAACGCUUCAGUCAGACCACAAGUUGUACUAGGAGGCUGACUGUGUGCUGUAUCUCUGAGAAUGCCUGUCCUUUUCCUCCCAUGUUCUCCUUGUCUCUGGCUAUUCCCUGUGGUGUUGCCCUUGGCUUUGCAUUGGCUUGCUCUGGCUGUUCUCUUUGCCCGGGCUGUCCCUGCGGCGUUCUCCUUUGGCGUUGCCCUUUGCCUGGGCCUUUCCUGCUGCGUUCUGAUUGUCUUUACUCUUGCCCUUGUUCUGGCUUUUCCUUGGGCAUUCUAAUUGCCUUUGCCUCGGUGUUCCCUUGGGUGUUCUGCUUGCCUUUGCAUCACUGGGAUUGGCUGUGAGGCAGCAUUAAUUUUAAUCUUGGGAGGUUAAGCUUAAUGGCAACUCAAAAAGUAACCAUAUUAACCUGCAAUGUAACUCUAACCCUUAACCUGAUGCUGAAAAUAUCUAAUGCUAAAUGUAGCAAUGAAAAUAAUGCCCCAAGUUCUCUGUCUAAGAAACCUUAACCCUAAUUGCAAUGUUAAAAACAACCGUUAAACUAAGUGUAACCUUAAAGCCAUAACUAGCAUAAAUUAUAACCCUAAUCUCUUAAAAGUAAUUGUUAUAUCCUUUAUCCUAAAAAUCCAUGGAAACUAAUCCAGACAAGUCACUGUAAGUGUAAUGUGAACAGUAACCUCAAUCCUAAAGAUAACCCUAACCUCAACACUAACACAAUGAUAAUUGUAAUUGGACUUUUCCUCUUCGUUAAUGUACAAACCCUAUUUAAAAAUCCACAAACCCUAUUGCAAUGGUAGCAGCCCAAACCUCUGAGAAUGCUGACUGCUCUGGCCACUCUAACCACUGUAGAUGACAACUGAGUACAACUCGACCACAGCUCAUAGCAAGCAUUGAUACACCGCACUUGCAGGCCCUAUACACAAACUGUAGCACUGCUGCCCCCUCCCUUCUCCCCCCUGUUUCCCUGGCACAGUUUCCAAGCUAGCUCCGCAGCUGUGGGACUCGACGGCUCGAAGAACAUCAGCCCUCAGCCUGGGACCGGCGCAGAGUGGCUCCGUAAUGGGUGCAGUAGAGCUCGGGGAUUGUGUUGACAGCUGCACUCGGUGGCAACGGAGAACUGCGGUGCUUCCGGACGGCGUGAGAACUGCACAGAGAUCUGUGACUCUUCGUGAAGUCAGCAAGAAAUGGAAGACUGGAUUUCUGGGAAUGCCCUGGAACCCGACUUCAACUGGUAACUCACUGCUCAUACAGGUAAGGGCAAUGUGCACCUGCCAGUUCAUACCAAUCGCGUAGCGUGGCUCAACAUAGUGCUCCCAGACCUCGGUACUGCGCUUCAGGGUAC
Numida meleagris (helmeted guineafowl) is the source of this 2407-nucleotide long non-coding RNA. RefSeq lists it as uncharacterized. NCBI's taxonomy places the organism in Eukaryota, Metazoa, Chordata, Aves, Galliformes, Numididae. The transcript is spliced from 3 exons. The record is from RefSeq and is a predicted model, not a curated record.